GUCCACGCCGUAAACGAUGGAUGCUAGCCGUCAGCAAGCUUGCUUGUUGGUGGCGCAGCUAACGCAUUAAGCAUCCCGCCUGGGGAGUACGGCCGCAAGGUUAAACUCAAAGGAAUUGACGGGGCCCGCACAAGCGGUGGAGCAUGUGGUUUAAUUCGACGCAACUCGCAGAACCUUACCAACCCUUGACAUGUCCGGUCGGUUUCCAGAGAUGGAUUCCUCCCAGCAAUGGGCCGGAACACAGGUGCUGCAUGGCUGUCGU
This 262-nucleotide ribosomal RNA is filed under the name uncultured bacterium. RNAcentral's name for it is "partial 16S ribosomal RNA". It matches the Rfam family "Bacterial small subunit ribosomal RNA", at positions 793 to 1055 of the family's 1533-position model. The record is from RNAcentral.